AAUUAAAUAGUCUAAGUUAAGAUUUUAAAUUGCAAGUUUAAAGAUGAAUUUAUUUCUUUAAUUU
This 64-nucleotide transfer RNA is filed under the name Curculionoidea sp. 22 KM-2017. RNAcentral describes it as "tRNA-Cys". The record is from RNAcentral. Lineage: Eukaryota; Metazoa; Arthropoda; Insecta; Coleoptera.